This 479-nucleotide ribosomal RNA is filed under the name uncultured bacterium. Its description in RNAcentral is "partial 16S ribosomal RNA". It matches the Rfam family "Bacterial small subunit ribosomal RNA", at positions 28 to 507 of the family's 1533-position model. The record is from RNAcentral.
GAUGAACGCUAGCGGUAGGCCUAACACAUGCAAGCCGAGCGGUAUUUGUUCUUCGGAACAGAGAGAGCGGCGCACGGGUGCGGAACACGUGUGCAACCUGCCUUUAUCUGGGGGAUAGCCUUUCGAAAGGAAGAUUAAUACCCCAUAAUAUAUUGAGUGGCAUCAUUUGAUAUUGAAAACUCCGGUGGAUAGAGAUGGGCACGCGCAAGAUUAGAUAGUUGGUGAGGUAACGGCUCACCAAGUCAAUGAUCUUUAGGGGGCCUGAGAGGGUGAUCCCCCACACUGGUACUGAGACACGGACCAGACUCCUACGGGAGGCAGCAGUGAGGAAUAUUGGACAAUGGGUUAGCGCCUGAUCCAGCCAUCCCGCGUGAAGGACGACGGCCCUAUGGGUUGUAAACUUCUUUUGUAUAGGGAUAAACCUACUCUCGUGAGAGUAGCUGAAGGUACUAUACGAAUAAGCACCGGCUAACUCCGUG